UUCCUCGCGUUUUCCUCAGACUCCACAGGGGAAGAGAACCCAGCGACUGUUUCUACUCCCCUUCCUCGUUCGUGUGGCAGAUCUCGCGUUCAUCUGCUUCUUCCUACCGGGAUCCUACUCCGGCAAGAGCACCAUCGCCCUCGUAAGCAGGUGACGCGCCCAUCUCUGCCGAUUCGUCCGCGGCAGCGGAUUCCUUCUCUUCCUCUUGAUUCUUCACUGUCGUUCGCUUCUCAUCCGCUUUGCGUCUUUGGAGGCAGGUGGAUGGUUCAUCUUCAUCUGUCUCACCUCAUUUUCUCACGCUGAUUUUGUGGGUUUCUCAUCUGACGUAUCUCUUUGAUAGAAGCUAGGUUUCCUGAUUUCUUCUUUUUUUGCUGUUGGCAGAUGGUGUGGCGUGUUUUUCCCCAGGAUAGCACUUCAAUUUUGGUCCAGGUUUGUCAGAUCUUCGCUCCCCUUUUGGUCAGAUUUGUGGUUUUCCCCCUUUUUUGUUAGUUUCUUAGCUAACUGUAUUUGCCACGUGUUUCUAUUUUUGUUGGCAGAUUCGGCUCAGAUCCAGUAGACCGUUGUUGUUCUACAGGAAAAAGGUAAACCGUUUCAUCAAGUACAAGUAGUAGUUCUACUAUUUUAGUUCUGGUACUUGGCUUGUUAUUCAUAAGCUAGGGUGGAGUUUUGGUUUAGGUCUGGUACUUAUAGAUAUAGUGGAAUUGUGGUGCCAAGCAUAUAGUUCUUAUUUUCGUACAUAUGCUGCUUCUACAUAUAGUGGUAUUGAUUUUCCACUUUUUUAAACAGCUUUACUUCCCUAGAGUCGAUUCAUUCCACUAGACCUUCUUUUUGUGUGAACAAUCUGUUUGAAACAAUCAAUCUUCUUUUUUGCUGUUGGCAGAUGGUGUGGCGUGUUAUUCCACAAACAAUCAAAUUGUAUCACUCAACAGCAAAUCAACAAGAUAACAUCAAACCUGGUUUAUUUCCUUUUUCCUAUUUUCCAUUGUUCGUGUUUUUCUUCUAUGGAUUUUGUGUCGUAGGAGGCUAUCACCUAUUAAAAGAUUGUCCAGGUAAUGAACUGUCUAGUUAGUCUGUACUUCCCUUGAGAACUACCCAUUGCAGGGAAGCACCUGAGUUAACCAAUCAUGCAUAUUCUUCUUGAAAAUGUUUUUCUAAUAUCUUUAGUUGGCAUUUUCAAAUGACCUAUCUUACUUUUUUAUUUGACAUGUACAACCAUAGGUCUGCUCUGUAUUGAUUCCUUUACAUGGAUUUAUGGGAUGGAAAAAUCAUGAAGGACUAUGAUGCUGUGAAUUUUCCUGAUUUACUGUAAAAAAUGAUAUUUCUUUUCAAGUUUUUCUUUUUAUAUUGUACUAUUGUUAGUAAUGCUCUUGACCCCCACACAUUCUCUUUCCCGGAGACAACCACUCUAUAUAUCGCUCUUGAGAGCUCUGUUUCUCUGCUAUGGAUGUACUAGCCGCUACUAUAACCUGUUUGUUCAGUUAAUUUAACUUGAAGCACCUCAUGUAUGUUUGGCAGCUUAACAUCCACUUCUCUAGUCUGCAAGUUUUGCGAGGUUAAUUAAAUAAUAUCCAGUUGCUUCCCUGAAAAAAAAUACUAGCUUGUUGUUUGUUGAUCUUCAGUAACUAGUUUGUGUAUUUUUUUCUUUUCUACUAUUUUAGGGAAUCAUUCCUCAAAUUUGGCAGAUUGGUGCUGACAAAAUGGCAAAAUUCGACCUGAACAACAUGGACUUUGUGGCACUGGAUGAUGCUUCAACCAGGAAGAGAAAGAGCGCCUUUAGAUGUUUCUAGAAAGGAAAGGAGUAGUCACAAAUAUUUGCUACAUUGAUGUGUAUAUCCAUUUUAGCUGAUCAACAUAUACCUCAGAAAGCAUGUUGUUGUUGACUUCCUAUGACAAACAAAAGUGUUCCCAGUGUGCAAGUGUUCUAAACGAAUGUGUUUUUGUUUUUCUUGCUAUUUUCCUAUGUACCUCACACAACAAUAUCGCGCCAGAAAUAGGGAUUCUGUUCUAGACUUUCUUUUUUUCGCUCUAUUUGGGUACAAUGUUUGAUAACUAUCUAUCUGAACAUGAAUUGACAGUUUAUAUAGCACCUAAUAAUAAUUUUGUUCGAAAUGAAUUAAGCAUGAAUAGAGUUUAAAUUAACUAAUGUAAUUUUAUUUAGAUUAUUUUCCCCAAAUGAAUUUAUACAUGCAUAGCAAUAUGUAUCAUGCCUUGCCAUCUAUGUUGGGACCUUGUACAUCCACCUUGAAUUCUGAGAACAUUUUAUGGACCUUAGCACACAAUUUAAAUUCCAAGAACAACUUUUCAGUCUGAGAACAUUUUUAGAAUACAAUAGUAUUCUUUUAGAAUCUAUGAACAGAACUUGAAUUCCAAGAACAAAAUUUUAAUGUGAAGAACAUUUUUGAAUCCUAGAACAACUUAAUUUCAGAUAAUAAUUUUUGAAUGUCCUAGAACAUUUUUGAUCCAAGAACUUCUUGAAUGCAUCGAACAUUUUUGAAUCCAUGAACAAUUUUGACUGCAAGAACAUUGAAUGCCUUGAACAUUUUUUUUGAAUCGUAUAAUAAUUUUGAAUGUCAUGAACUUCUUUGAAUCCAAGAACAUUUUUAGAUGCUUUGAAUUUUUUUUUGAAUCCAAGAAGAAUUUUGAA
Molecule: long non-coding RNA, 2644 nt
Filed under: Triticum aestivum (bread wheat)
Lineage: Eukaryota; Viridiplantae; Streptophyta; Magnoliopsida; Poales; Poaceae
Description: long non-coding RNA (TAES_LNC007033)
Source: RNAcentral